AUGGCUCGGUGUGUCUGGGCUUUGGGAGACGAAGGAAUUCUUGAGCAUGCAGAAACAGAAGUGAAAAUAAAUGUGGAUGGAGGUUCAUCUCGCAGUGGAAACAAAGGUGCAGCAGCAGCUGUCUGCAGAGACUGCAAUGAUCCUGCCAGUUUGGAAGCGUGGGCAUGCAAUGAGGCUUUGGCCUUGGCCCAGGACUUGCAUGUUCAGCGACUUCUAAUCGCCUCUGAUUGUGCCGAAGUAAUCACCAAUAUGAGCCGAGACACAGCUGCAGUUUAUGCGCCAAUUAUGCAGGAGAUAGAUAUUCGCAGAAGGAAUUUUGAGCAUGUUGUCUUUCGUCAUGAACCAAGGGAAUGCAUUAGUGAGGCUCAUAGAUUAGCUAAGGCCGCGUCGACUCUUGACGUGGGCCGCCAUGUGUGGCUAGGGACUGUCCCAGACAUUAUUUGUAUUCCAAACUGUUUAAACUUUGAAUAA
RNAcentral lists this ribosomal RNA (471 nucleotides) under Triticum aestivum (bread wheat). Its description in RNAcentral is "partial small subunit ribosomal RNA". The record is from RNAcentral. Lineage: Eukaryota; Viridiplantae; Streptophyta; Magnoliopsida; Poales; Poaceae.